UGGCUCUGGCAUCGAUGAAGAACGCAGCGAAAUGCGAUAAGUAAUGUGAAUUGCAGAAUUCAGUGAAUCAUCGAAUCUUUGAACGCACAUUGCGCCCGCCAGCAUUCUGGCGGGCAUGCCUGUCCGAGCGUCAUUUCAACCCUCAGAUCCCCCUCUAGGGGGGGAGCUGGUGUUGGGGAUCGGCCCGCCUCCGCGCGGCGCCGUCCCCCAAAUACAGUGGCGGUCUCGCUGCAGCCUCCCCUGCGUAGUAGCAACACUCGCAUGCGGAGCGCGGCGCGGCCACGCCGUAAAACCCCCGACUUUCUGAACGUUGACCUCGGAUCAGGUAGGAAUACCCGCUGA
Molecule: unclassified non-coding RNA, 342 nt
Filed under: uncultured fungus
Lineage: Eukaryota; Fungi
Description: partial contains 5.8S ribosomal RNA and internal transcribed spacer 2
Rfam family: 5.8S ribosomal RNA (bases 1-133)
Source: RNAcentral